UCUCUGGUAGUAUAUCGGUUAGUACACGCGCCUGUCAUCUGGUCAGACAUUCAUAUUGUGAGCGCCUGAAAGCUGGGUUCGACUCCCAGCCAGAGAG
This is a non-coding RNA of Mucidula mucida, 97 nucleotides long. The record is from the annotation of a GenBank genome assembly. NCBI's taxonomy places the organism in Eukaryota, Fungi, Basidiomycota, Agaricomycetes, Agaricales, Physalacriaceae.